AGAGUUUGAUCCUGGCUCAGGACGAACGCUUGCGGCGUGCUUAACACAUGCAAGUCGAACGAUGAAGCCUAGCUUGCUAGGUGGAUUAGUGGCGAACGGGUGAGUAAUACGUGAGUAACCUACCUUUAACUCUGGGAUAAGCCUGGGAAACUGGGUCUAAUACCGGAUACGACCAAUCUCCGCAUGGGGUGUUGGUGGAAAGCGUUAUGUAGUGGUUAUAGAUGGGCUCACGGCCUAUCAGCUUGUUGGUGAGGUAACGGCUCACCAAGGCGACGACGGGUAGCCGGCCUGAGAGGGUGACCGGCCACACUGGGACUGAGACACGGCCCAGACUCCUACGGGAGGCCGCCGUGUGGAUAUUGCGCACUGGGCGCUUGCCAGAUGCAGCGACGCCGCGUGAGGGAUGACUGUCUACUGGUUGUNNNCCUCUGUUNGCCGGGNNGNNGNGNNNUUGNCGGUCCCUGCNGNGNNNGCGCCGGCUNNCUNCGUGCCNGCCGCCGCGGUNNUNCGUNGGGCGCGNGCGUUGUCCGGNNUUNUUGGGCGUNNNGNGCUUGUNGGCGGUUUGUCGCGUCUGCUGUGNNNGGCCGGGGCUUNNCCCCGUGUNUUGCCGUGGGUNCGGGCCGNCUNGNGUGCCGUNGGGGNGNCUGGNNCUCCUGGUGUNGCGGUGGNNUGCGCNGNUNUCUGGNNGNNCCCCGCUGGCGCCGGCCGGUCUCUGGGCUGUAACUGACGCUGGGAAGUGAAAGCAAGGGGAGAGAACAGGAUCAGAUACCCUGGUAGUCCAUGCCCGUAAACGGUGGGCACUAAGGGGGGGGGACAUUCCACGUUUUCCGCGCCGUAGCUUACGCAUUAAGUGCCCCGCCUGGGGAGUACGGCCGCAAGGCUAAAACUCAAAGAAAUUGACGGGGGCCCGCACAGGCGGCGGAGCAUGCGGAUUAAUUCGAUGCAACGCGAAGAACCUUACCAAGGCUUGACAUAUACUGGACCGCAUCAGAGAUGGUGUUUCCCUUCGGGGCUGGUAUACAGGUGGUGCAUGGUUGUCGUCAGCUCGUGUCGUGAGAUGUUGGGUUAAGUCCCGCAACGAGCGCAACCCUCGUUCUAUGUUGCCAGCACGUUAUGGUGGGGACUCAUAGGAGACUGCCGGGGUCAACUCGGAGGAAGGUGGGGAUGACGUCAAAUCAUCAUGCCCCUUAUGUCUUGGGCUUCACGCAUGCUACAAUGGCCGGUACAGAGGGUUGCGAUACUGUGAGGUGGAGCUAAUCCCUAAAAGCCGGUCUCAGUUCGGAUUGGGGUCUGCAACUCGACCCCACGAAGUCGGAGUCGCUAGUAAUCGCAGAUCAGCAACGCUGCGGUGAAUACGUUCCCGGGCCUUGCACUCACCGCCCGUCAAG
Molecule: ribosomal RNA, 1388 nt
Filed under: uncultured bacterium
Lineage: Bacteria
Description: partial 16S ribosomal RNA
Rfam family: Bacterial small subunit ribosomal RNA
Source: RNAcentral